CUGCUGCCUUCCGUAGGAGUUUGGUCCGUGUCUCAGUACCAAUGUGGGGGGUUAACCUCUCAGUCCCCCUAUGUAUCGUCGCCUUGGUGAGCCGUUACCUCACCAACCAGCUAAUACAACGCAUGCCCAUCAUCAACCACCGGAGUUUUCAACCCCAUGCGAUGCCGCAUGAGAUAUUAUGGGGUAUUAGUACCAAUUUCUCAGUGUUAUCCCCCUGUUGAUGGUAGGUUGCAUACGCGUUACGCACCCGUGCG
Molecule: ribosomal RNA, 254 nt
Filed under: uncultured bacterium
Lineage: Bacteria
Description: partial 16S ribosomal RNA
Source: RNAcentral